GAUGAACGCUAGCUACAGGCUUAACACAUGCAAGUCGAGGGGAAACGAUAUUGGAAGCUUGCUUCCGAUAGGCGUCGACCGGCGCACGGGUGAGUAACGCGUAUCCAACCUGCCCACCACUUGGGGAUAACCUUGCGAAAGUAAGACUAAUACCCAAUGAUAUCUCUAGAAGACAUCUGAAGGAGAUUAAAGAUUCAUCGGUGAUGGAUGGGGAUGCGUCUGAUUAGCUUGUUGGCGGGGUAACGGCCCACCAAGGCGGCGAUCAGUAGGGGUCCUGAGAGGAAGGUCCCCCACAUUGGAACUGAGACACGGUCCAAACUCCUACGGGAGGCAGCAGUGAGGAAUAUUGGUCAAUGGGCGAGAGCCUGAACCAGCCAAGUAGCGUGCAGGAUGACGGCCCUAUGGGUUGUAAACUGCUUUUAUAAGGGAAUAAAGUGAGUCUCGUGAGACUUUUUGCAUGUACCUUAUGAAUAAGGACCGGCUAAUUCCGUGCCAGCCGCCGCCGUAA
Molecule: ribosomal RNA, 508 nt
Filed under: uncultured bacterium
Lineage: Bacteria
Description: partial 16S ribosomal RNA
Rfam family: Bacterial small subunit ribosomal RNA
Source: RNAcentral